UACGUAGGGGCCGAGCGUUGUCCGGAGUUAUUGGGCGUAAAGCGCGCGCAGGCGGCUUGACGCGCCCGACGUGAAAGCCCCCGGCUUAACCGGGGAGGGUCGUCGGGUACGGUCAGGCUUGAGGGCGGGAGAGGGUGGUGGAAUUCCCGGUGUAGUGGUGAAAUGCGUAGAGAUCGGGAGGAACACCUGUGGCGAAGGCGGCCACCUGGGCCGACCCUGACGCUGAGGCGCGAAAGCGUGGGGAGCAAACAGG
This 253-nucleotide ribosomal RNA is filed under the name uncultured bacterium. RNAcentral's name for it is "partial 16S ribosomal RNA". It matches the Rfam family "Bacterial small subunit ribosomal RNA", at positions 524 to 776 of the family's 1533-position model. The record is from RNAcentral.